RNAcentral lists this microRNA (21 nucleotides) under Arabidopsis thaliana (thale cress). RNAcentral's name for it is "ath-miR860". Its record names the gene ath-miR860. The record is from miRBase by way of RNAcentral. Lineage: Eukaryota; Viridiplantae; Streptophyta; Magnoliopsida; Brassicales; Brassicaceae.
UCAAUAGAUUGGACUAUGUAU